RNAcentral lists this ribosomal RNA (471 nucleotides) under uncultured bacterium. Its description in RNAcentral is "partial 16S ribosomal RNA". It matches the Rfam family "Bacterial small subunit ribosomal RNA", at positions 28 to 507 of the family's 1533-position model. The record is from RNAcentral.
GACGAACGCUGGCGGCGUGCUUAACACAUGCAAGUCGAACGAUGAAGCGGUGCUUGCACCGUGGAUUAGUGGCGAACGGGUGAGUAAUACGUGAGUGACCUACCUUUGACUCUGGGAUAAGCCUGGGAAACUGGGUCUAAUACCGGAUACGACCAAUCUCUGCAUGGGGUUUGGGUGGAAGGCGUUAGGGAGUGGUUUUAGAUGGGCUCACGGCCUAUCAGCUUGUUGGUGAGGUAAUGGCUUACCAAGGCGACGACGGGUAGCCGGCCUGAGAGGGUGACCGGCCAUACUGGGACUGAGACACGGCCCAGACUCCUACGGGAGGCAGCAGUGGGGAAUAUUGCACAAUGGGCGCAAGCCUGAUGCAGCGACGCCGCGUGAGGGAUGACGGCCUUCGGGUUGUAAACCUCUGUUAGCAUCGAAGAAGCGAAAGUGACGGUAGGUGCAGAGAAAGCGCCGGCUAACUACGUG